Molecule: non-coding RNA, 30 nt
Filed under: Homo sapiens (human)
Lineage: Eukaryota; Metazoa; Chordata; Mammalia; Primates; Hominidae
Source: RNAcentral
UGAAAUUCUGAGUUGAUUUGCAGAAGAAUU